AUGACAACAGCAGCUCGGCCAACUUUUGAACCUACAAGAGGUGGAAGAGGAAAAGGUGAAGGUGAUUUGAGCCAGCUGUCAAAGCAGUAUUCAAGCAGAGACCUACACUCUCAUACAAAGAUAAAAUAUAGACAGACCACUCAGGAUGCCCCUGAAGAGGUUCGAAACCAUGACUUCAGGAGAGAGUUGGAAGAGAGAGAGAGCUGCUGCAAGAGAAAAAAACAGAGAUCGGCCAACCCGAGAACAUAUAACCUUUUCUUCAGUGUCAAAGAAGCCCCGAUUGGACCAGAUUCCUGCUGCCAACCUUGAUGCAGAUGACCCUCUAACAGAUGAGGAAGAUGAAGAUGAAGAUUUUGAAGAGGAGAGUGAUGAUGACGACACUGCAGCUCUUCUUGCAGAGCUGGAAAAAAUUAAAAAAGAAAGAGCUGAAGAGCAGGCCAGGAAGGAACAAGAACAAAAGGCUGAAGAAGAAAGGAUUCAUAUGGAAAACAUUCUGAGUGGAAACCCUCUUCUUAAUCUCACUGGCCCAUCCCAGCCUCAGGCCAACUUCAAAGUUAAAAGAAGGUGGGAUGAUGAUGUUGUCUUCAAGAACUGUGCAAAAGGUGUAGAUCAUCAGAAGAAAGACAAAAGAUUUGUAAAUGAUACGCUUCGAUCUGAAUUUCACAAAAAGUUCAUGGAGAAAUACAUUAAAUAGUACAGUUUUAUGUGCUGAAUUGAAGGCUAUAAAAUGUAAAUGAUCUGACUUCAUUUUGAUUUAUUUUUCCCUCCCCACCCAUGUCUAAAUUGUGUAUAGGCUUCCCUAAUUUUUAGUUCCAAAGUAUCUUUUCCUUUAUUGGUUAAUUACUUGGUAAGGACUUGGGAAUUGGUUUAACCCAGUUUCCAUCUCAAUAUUUCCAGUCAUGUGUUUUCUCUUAAAUAUGGGAAAAGAAACCUGCUUAUAAUAAAUAUUUUUAAUAAU
Molecule: non-coding RNA, 958 nt
Organism: Odocoileus virginianus texanus
Lineage: Eukaryota; Metazoa; Chordata; Mammalia; Artiodactyla; Cervidae
Source: RefSeq, a predicted model, not a curated record